Ornithodoros turicata is the source of this 2984-nucleotide long non-coding RNA. RefSeq lists it as uncharacterized. NCBI's taxonomy places the organism in Eukaryota, Metazoa, Arthropoda, Arachnida, Ixodida, Argasidae. The record is from RefSeq and is a predicted model, not a curated record. The transcript has 4 exons.
CACUGCUCUCGGUUUAUCUGUCUUUGGCUUGGCAUGGACUCUUGGCUUGGCUGCUUGGCUUCUUUCGUUUCCUCCUCUGUGCAUCGUACAUAAGCGAACAGCUGUUAUGUUGUUGCUAAGCCGGAAACAAAGCAUGUGAAUGUUUUUUUUUUUUGGCACAGCGUCGUUUGGAAAGUGCACUUCCUUGUUCUGACCUUGCCUUUUAUGGGCUGGAGCGAUAUGAUUCGUAAAUAUGCCACGGCGAAGUUGUCGAAGAUGCGAGAGUGCUACGCUGUUAGAACAAUUCAUCGGUGCAUUCAAGUGUUACCUAUUAUAAGCUGCCAAAAGACCAAGCAGUGCGAAGCUCUUGGCUGACAGUGGUGCCUGCUAAUUUCCACUGCAAGGAUUUCGUCCACGAAUGUUAUCAUAGGUUACGCGCGACUCCAGAGGCAAUUUGGAAUCUUGGCACGAAAUCGUCUGAUGAAAAUCCGAGGUGCCCGACGCAUAACAUUUUGAACGUGCCACGGAGGAUCAAGGCAAAAAACGAGAGCAAAAAAUGGUGCACGCUGAAGGCGGAAAUGAAGCAUGAUCUGGCUUGCAUCUGGUCAUGAAGAAAUUGCUGACACGUUAGUUGCAAUCCACCUCCACCAACAGACAUUUUGACACCACUUUUAAAUCUGCCCUCAAAGUUACAACCUGUGCUUCGAGGGUGGAAAACAAAGAUCGCCAUUCCGAUUAGCUGCUAUCUCCCAGUUCAAGCACUUUUGUGUCUGGACACUGGUUCCUGUGGAUGGGGUGUUACAAGCUUUACUGUCUGAUAUAGAAGUGAUGAGCAUCCAUAAGGACACAUGCCAGAAAGGGAGUCUCUUUGGGAUGACAAACCCUCAUCACCUCAUGAGGAUACAAUGGUUGACGAAUGGUUCUCAAGCACAUCGAAACUUCAAACAAAUAAUUCAUGAAAAAGCCAGUCAGUGCUAGCACCAGGAAUUGAACGUGGGCCAUCCUGCUACCAGUCAGAGAUGUUCAGUGGUGUAGCCACGGCGGGGCUAGGGGGGGCUCGAGCCCCCCCCCCCCCCUACCUGCCACGGACCGACCCACACAAAUCGUGCAAAUCCGAGAACAUAAUAUAUGGGGGGGGGGGGGGACCAGUGUCCCUAUCGCGAAAGUUCUUGCAGUUUUUGGCGUCUAUCUAAGAAGCAUUCUUGAAUGGUUUUCAAAGUAUGAGCUUUUCAAAAUACUUCCAAUCUCGUGACACCACUUCAUUGGUCAUGACAGCCUAUACAUGUAAUCGUACUGUGAACGUCUAAAUCAACUAUUUCGUUCCCUUUUUUAAUCCUCAGUUUGAAGUGUGCACAAGUACGUGUGUGUUGUCGACACAGGAUCAGCGAGGGGGGGGGGAGUUUUCGUAUCGAGCCCCCCCCUACCUUUGAGGUCGGGCUAUGCCACUGGAGAUGUUACAUUUCAGGCGCUCAUUGACUUUUGGUGAAUUACUUGUUGACUUUGUCCCAAGGUGGAGCUCACUACAGCUCAUUUGCUAUCUGUUAAUGUUGUGGCGUGUGUUGCGUUUUUCUCUUUGUGUGUUCCAGACUCAGAACGGUUAAUUUGGAUCAGGUCAGGUACGUUUCAUUUAGACAUGGCAAACAUAAAGUGGUGUUUCUCAACACAACUUAGCAGUGGUCUUCAUGCAAUACUGCUACGGCCAUUAAGCGUGAAUAGAAACCUAGCCAGAGCAGCUGAUACACAGAGAGAACAUAGCCCGUGUGUGUUUGUCUUUUCCACCGCAGCCCUUGGGUUUCCUCCCUGAUGGCUACACAUGUCAGGGAUAGGUUUCAGAACCGGUAGUUCCCGCCAAGUGUGAAUUGCUUUUCAGGGGAUCAUCACGCUGGCAGAUGAAACAUAUGGUUGAAAUUAUUUGCAGGACAGGAAUUGCGCAGCUUCACACAAAUACUACUACUACGACGUAAGAGUGGUUUAAAAUCUAUAUUUUUUGUGUUCCUGACAUUAUCGCACAAGAUGUAGUAUCCACUAUGAUCCUUUAUGUGGGGGGUAUGUACGGUGCAAUCAAUAGAUGCUAUUUACAAAUCUGUGUUUUCUACUGUGUUGAAAUUGGGUAGUUUGUAUCUGAGAGCCAUAGUGAAACACAGGCUCUCGAGAAACAUGGCAACACAGCAGGGGCUCUGGAUGCUGCCUAAAUUUCCAGAACACACAGCUCAAGGCAGCGGUUAAAUAACAAGUGGUUAGAGAAAUCCAAGAUAGUUGCAUCCGUAAGCAGUCCGCUGUUGGAUUUGCUUCUGUCAGAGAUACGUUAUCUCAAAGGGAACGCACGGACACACUCAGAAUGAUACUAGGGCUGCGUGUGAAAUAGAAUGAGGAGAGGGGAAGAUAUAUAACCCUUUUUCUUGUCUGUUAUUCUAUUGGUUAAAUUGUCAUUUUCUUAGCAGCAUAUGUGUAUAUUCCAGAGUCUGCUAAUAAAUAUAUCAGUUUAGAGCUAGCAGUCGCAUUGUAGAUGUCUCAUACUGCCCUUGGUUGCUUGUGAUUCACUAUGGCCAUGCUUGCUAAUGCAAAAACAGAAAAGAAAAAAAGACAAUAGAAAAACACGAAAAGAGCGACCUAAAAAGCUGCCUGUUCUAGAGCUGACAUGGAGGCAAUGCAAUGAGGUAACAUGUUCCAUUAAUGAACUGUGCAUAGUAGUACAUAUCACAACGGCAACCGAUUAUUCAGAUUUUUCUUGAAGUACUUUUUUUUUUUUUUAGCUUUGUUUGCACAGUCUAUUAUUGGAGCUUUAUGUGAUUCCCCUCUUGAGAUACUUUAAGAUUGCUGAUGCUGUGCAGUUUGUUAAUUUUGAAACUGUACUGUGCUGAGGUACAAAAACAGAAUUGUCAUAUCUGCAUUUGAGCACAUAGGAAUAAUUUGCAAGUACUUUACUUGUUGACAUUAAUAUUUGCACCAGGUCACAACAUUGUUGAUUUAUGGAAAAUGUAAAUAAAUAUAUUUAUUUGCUUGCC